CUAUGUUUCAGGCUACUAGGAUACUAAUUGUUAAUUCGUUUGGACGUGUUGGACUACGUUCCAAUUAAUAGACGUCAUACCUCUAAACCUGUAAAUGGAUUUUUCAUUAGAGAUGGAUGGAAUGCUUGUAAGUCUGUAUUCUGUCAGCCGAUUGGAAUUGCUGUGUUAGGUUUGUUGUGUCCUCAUGAGUUAUGAGGAUUGAGGAGUGUUGAAAGGACAACUGUUUGUUGUGCCCUCAUGAGUUAUGAGGAUUGAGGGGUGUUGAAGCAUUCAAGGAUUCAAGGUUCUUUGCUUUCCAGUUUUUUCUUUUCUUUUCUUGAUUAUUGACUAUUUUCGACAUCGGCUACCUUACAAGUACAUGUGAUGCUUCAUGCUUGUGUUC
This 382-nucleotide small RNA is filed under the name Oryza sativa Japonica Group (Japanese rice). Its description in RNAcentral is "misc RNA P0006C08.2-1". Lineage: Eukaryota; Viridiplantae; Streptophyta; Magnoliopsida; Poales; Poaceae. The record is from RNAcentral.